GCGAGGGUGGCGGAAUUGGUAGACGCGCUGGUUUUAGGUACCAGUAUCCAUGAUGUGGGGGUUCGAGUCCCCCCCCUCGUACCA
This 84-nucleotide transfer RNA is filed under the name Mariprofundus sp. RNAcentral describes it as "tRNA-Leu". It matches the Rfam family "tRNA". From Rfam's summary of the family: Transfer RNA (tRNA) molecules are approximately 80 nucleotides in length. Their secondary structure includes four short double-helical elements and three loops (D, anti-codon, and T loops). Lineage: Bacteria; Pseudomonadati; Pseudomonadota; Candidatius Mariprofundia; Mariprofundales; Mariprofundaceae. RNAcentral also lists the same sequence under 2 other names. The record is from RNAcentral.